GAUGAAGAACGUAGCGAAAUGCGAUAAGUAAUGUGAGUUGCAGAAUUCAGUGAAUCAUCGAGUCUUUGAACGCACAUUGCGCCCCCUGGUAUUCCGGGGGGCAUGCCUGUCCGAGCGUCAUUGCCGCCCUCAAGCACGGCUUGUGUGUUGGGCCCCCGCCCCCCGGCUUCGGGGGGCGGGCCCGAAAGGCAGCGGCGGCACCGCGUCCGGUCCUCGAGCGUAUGGGGCUUCGUCACCCGCUUUGUAGGCCCGGCCGGCGCCCGCCGGCGACCCCAAUCAAUCUUUCCAGGUUGACCUCGGAUCAGGUAGGGAUACCCGCUGAACUUAAGCAUAUCAAUAAGCGGAGGA
Molecule: unclassified non-coding RNA, 348 nt
Filed under: soil metagenome
Description: partial contains 5.8S ribosomal RNA, internal transcribed spacer 2, and large subunit ribosomal RNA
Rfam family: 5.8S ribosomal RNA (bases 1-120)
Source: RNAcentral